Non-coding RNA from Thamnophis sirtalis, 763 nucleotides. NCBI's taxonomy places the organism in Eukaryota, Metazoa, Chordata, Lepidosauria, Squamata, Natricidae. The record is from RefSeq and is a predicted model, not a curated record.
ACGGGGGUGAGGUGUGGGGGAGGUUGAGGGCAGCUCAAGGCCCCGCGCCCCUCCCUAGAACGGAAGGCCCGAUGAGCCACGUGACGGAAAGACCGGUCCGAGGCGGGCUUUGGAGGCGGAAGUUUCGAUGAUAAUCGGAGAGCCGAGGCUGCGGGCUCCGGGCCCGCCUUGGCGGCGCUGAGGAAGCCGAGGCUCCGCGGUGAAGUCGGCCAUGGCGAUCCUGAAGGGCGCGUGGGCGCUGCUGUGGGCGCUGCUGGCUCUGGCGUGGGCGGCGGGUCAGGAAACCGGCGAAAAGAACUCCCAGGAUGUCCGAUGUAAAUGUAUAUGUCCCCCAUACAAAGACCAUGCUGGUAAAUUUUUUAGUAAAAAUGUUUCACAGAAGGACUGGUAAGUAUAUGAUACUUUAUAUUUAAGAGAUCAGAAUAAUUUAAAUAGCUCAUUUAUUAUUGGUAUUUCAAAGUAUUUUGAAUCAAGAAAAUUGUUAAAUCUGGAUGCUUAGAUUGAAGUUGUUUGUGGUUAUUGCUAGUAAAUAUAAGAUUAUAUUUGAAAUAACAUUCAGAAUAUUUUUUUAUAAAUACUUUGGCUUAAAAAUGAUUUAUUUUAAAGUGUUUUUAUUUAAGGCAAUGCAAUGCUUUUUGAUAUAACUUGAGAUCUUAAAAUAAAUCAGAUACAUGUCUGCAGGCUGAUUUUUCAUAGUCUUAGAUCAUUGGCUUCCAUAAUGUCCUUUAGAUAUACAGUAGGUGUAGAUUAAUAAUAAUCAAAA